Molecule: ribosomal RNA, 253 nt
Filed under: uncultured prokaryote
Description: partial 16S ribosomal RNA
Rfam family: Bacterial small subunit ribosomal RNA
Source: RNAcentral
UACGAAGGGGGCGAGCGUUGUUCGGAUUUACUGGGCGUAAAGGGCGCGCAGGCGGUUCUGUUUGUCGAGUGUGAAGGCCCCGGGCUCAACCUGGGAACUGCGCUCGAAACGGCGGAACUAGAGUUCGGGAGAGGAGAGUGGAAUUCCCAGUGUAGAGGUGAAAUUCGUAGAUAUCGGGAGGAACACCUGUGGCGAAAGCGGCUCACUGGACCACAACUGACGCUGAUGCGCGAAAGCUAGGGGAGCAAACAGG